UACGUAGGGUGCAAGCGUUGUCCGGAUUUAUUGGGUUUAAAGGGUGCGUAGGCGGUCUGUUAAGUCAGUGUUUAAAUUUUGCAGCUCAACUGUAGGUAUGGCAUUGAUACUGGUGGACUUGAAUAUUAUAGAGGUAGCUGGAAUUUAUGGUGUAGCGGUGAAAUGCAUAGAUACCAUAAGGAACACCGAUAGCGGAGGCAGGUUACCAUGUGAUUAUUGACGCUGAGGCACGAAAGUGUGGGGAUCAAACAGG
Molecule: ribosomal RNA, 253 nt
Filed under: uncultured bacterium
Lineage: Bacteria
Description: partial 16S ribosomal RNA
Rfam family: Bacterial small subunit ribosomal RNA
Source: RNAcentral